This is a long non-coding RNA of Homo sapiens (human), 764 nucleotides long. RefSeq lists it as uncharacterized. The transcript is spliced from 2 exons. Lineage: Eukaryota; Metazoa; Chordata; Mammalia; Primates; Hominidae. The record is from RefSeq and is a predicted model, not a curated record.
CUUGGGCAAGUCACAGCCGCUCGCUGGGCCUCGGUUUCCAUAUCUGUAUCCUGAGAUAGACUUGAAGGCCAGAAAUCUUUCAAGAAAAAGUCUCAUUUGAAAAUCUUUCACAUCUUGUGAGGAUGAAUAAAAGACAGAAUGUCAACUUUGCCGCCUUAAAAUUUCAAAAAGAGGAAACAUUCCAAAAUCGCAUACAGCAUCCAUGAUACAUGAUCCUUGAUCCAGACAUAAAAGAGAAUAUAAAAAUGAAGAAAAGAGACGCUGUUAGAGAAAAAUGGGACUUCCCUCCAAACAUCUUGCUCCUCACCCACAUGGGUGGAAGUGAUCAACCCUCAGUCACUCAAAUGGGCACAGGAAGGGCCUUGGAUUAUCCCUUCAAGCUGGCGGCCCAAGAAAACUGUUUCUGCACCCUAUGUCAGCCCUUAAAACUUUACUAUAGCUCUAAUUCAAAAUUGUAAUAAUAAAAUUUGUAUUUAAAAUUAUGCACAGGCUUUGGCCUCCUCUUCAGCUGAACUUUAACACUUGGCCAUUUGGCAUUCAGCCAUAAUGUACCUGUAACUGUAAUGUACCCCUAAAUAUAAAUUGAAAAUCUUUUCUUCCCCCAACCCCUGGUCUCUUCUCCAGAGAUUACCACUGGUGCUUAAGGGCCUUGUAAUAUUUCUAUAAAAUAUUUGUAUUUGUUCUUGCAACAGUGGGAUCAUCCCAUAUACUCUCCAGUAAUUUGUUAUGUACCAUUACAUUAAAGAUAAUUUAAUUCAAACAUC